AGCUAUGGCUCAAAGGUAGAGCAUCUGCUUUGCAUGCAGAAGAUCCCAGGUUCAGUCCCCAGGUAGGGCUG
Podarcis lilfordi (Lilford's wall lizard) is the source of this 71-nucleotide non-coding RNA. Lineage: Eukaryota; Metazoa; Chordata; Lepidosauria; Squamata; Lacertidae. The record is from the annotation of a GenBank genome assembly.